UGUUGCUUCCACUGGACGAGUUUUUCUANNUUGAGUGUAAGAACUUUGGUUUAUGUAAUUUCUACAUGCCAGCCAGUGGGAAGACCACAUACAAAAACUUGUUGAGAACCACUUGUCUGAAUAUUUUGCUCCAAUGAAAUAAAACUUUCAACAACGGAUCUCUAGGCUCUUGCAUCGAUGAAGAACGCAGUGAAAUGCGAUAAGUAAUGUGAAUUGCAGAAUCUCGUGAAUCAUCGAAUCUUUGAACGCACAUUGCGCCCUAUGGUACUCCAUAGGGCAUGCCUGUCUGAGCGUCAGCUCCUCCCCCAAAAAAACUCAAGCAUCUUCUUCUGAUGCUUGUAUUACUUUGGAGAGGUAUCGUCCUUCGAUGGAGAUGCCCUCCAGAAAAUUAUAGGCACUAUGGUUUGCACCNAACCAGACGUAAUAAUAAUAAAAUCGUUUGUGUUGGGAUAAUAAUUGUACUUGCCCUUGAUUCACCCAUUGGUUUCGGGUGACCUCAGAUCAGGUAGGAUACCCGCUGAACUUAA
RNAcentral lists this ribosomal RNA (527 nucleotides) under uncultured Peziza. RNAcentral describes it as "eukaryotic LSU rRNA". The stretch from base 143 to 296 matches the Rfam family "5.8S ribosomal RNA". The record is from RNAcentral. Lineage: Eukaryota; Fungi; Ascomycota; Pezizomycetes; Pezizales; Pezizaceae.